This 387-nucleotide ribosomal RNA is filed under the name uncultured Candidatus Nitrosopumilus sp. RNAcentral describes it as "bacterial SSU rRNA". It matches the Rfam family "Archaeal small subunit ribosomal RNA", at positions 339 to 727 of the family's 1478-position model. The record is from RNAcentral. Lineage: Archaea; Thermoproteati; Nitrososphaerota; Nitrososphaeria; Nitrosopumilales; Nitrosopumilaceae.
GCGAGAAAACUUUGCAAUGUGCGAAAGCACGACAAGGUUAAUCCGAGUGGUUCCUGCUAAAGGAACCUUUUGACGGUCCUAAAAACACCGUUGAAUAAGGGGUGGGCAAGUUCUGGUGUCAGCCGCCGCGGUAAAACCAGCACCUCAAGUGGUCAGGAUGAUUAUUGGGCCUAAAGCAUCCGUAGCCGGCUCUGUUAGUUUUCGGUUAAAUCUGUACGCUCAACGUACAGGCUGCCGGGAAUACUACAGAGCUAGGGAGUGGGAGAGGUAGACGGUACUUGGUAGGAAGGGGUAAAAUCCUUUGAUCUAUUGAUGACCACCUGUGGCGAAGGCGGUCUACUAGAACACGUCCGACGGUGAGGGAUGAAAGCUGGGGGAGCAAACCGG